This is a long non-coding RNA of Cygnus atratus (black swan), 2656 nucleotides long. RefSeq lists it as uncharacterized. Lineage: Eukaryota; Metazoa; Chordata; Aves; Anseriformes; Anatidae. The record is from RefSeq and is a predicted model, not a curated record. The transcript has 6 exons.
AGGGCCGGGAGAGGCGGGGAGGUCGGGCUGGGACCGGGCUGACUGUGCUCAUCCACCCCGCCGGAUUUCGCCCUCGGCCUGCAUCAGUGCCCCUCUGCCGGAUUUGGGGCCGGCCAUUGGUGUGGUGCCUCCGUCGCGAGGCUGGACUCUGGAGCAGGACCGUGUUAAAACUCCUACCGAUACCACACAGCCUUACAUAUGCUGGGCUUCAGGUGCUUCCUUGAGCAGCAAGAGCAGCGUCUCGGAGCAGCCAGUUGCCCAUCGUCAGGAGUGAGCUGCUCCAGCAGCCGCUGCACAGCCCUGGGCCAAAGAGGUGGGAGAAGCCAGGAUGGGUGACAUGAGGGCUGGAAGGAAGGGGAGGAUGCUAUGCAGCUGAGCCUCAGCACUGAUACCUGAUGUGCUCCUCUGGAUGAGCAGGGGCUUCACGUUUUUCACAGAUGCGUUAGACUGCAAACUCCUGCCUGCAUGCUUAACCUACUUCUGCAGAACUGUUGGCAAGUAUGUGAUCUAAAGUGGAUGGGCAGGCAUGGACUUACAAGGGACACUGACAGGUGUCAGUACAAUAAGAUCUGCACCUGGGCAUGCUGGAUGGCAGGACACAUCAGUGCUUGCUGCUGGUGCUUUCUGAAUGGCCACAAGGAGCCCGUGGUAGCUGCGGUCCCACCAGACAGCAUGGGAGGGGACAGGGCAAGGAGGCAGCAGUAGGAGCAUUGACAGUGCUCAGAAGCUCUUGAAACAGAUGAGGAAUAUAUCAUGGCAAAAGUGAAUCCUUGGAGAGUGUUUCACAAGAGGUGCUGGUGUGCCAGACAUACUUCUUCACAAAUGUUUUUCAUAUUUUUUUCCACUAAAAGAAGCAGAAGAGCUCAAAAGGCAGCAGUAUUUUUUGCUAAGUGCCGGUAUUUUUUGCUAAGUGCCCAGCCACUGAUGGAAGUGCCACACUUCCCUGCAGCAGGUGAAUUAAUCUUUGUGCAGCCCUGUAUGUAAACACCAUGCAUUAAGCUUAUCAUGCUGGACUCUGUUCCUGAAUCCUGCACAGCCAGAUGAUGGCUUUCACCCUCAUCUCCAGCAGAGGUGCUGUUAAGAAGAGGAUGUUCUUCAGUGCCACGAUAACCAUCUGAUCAGCUCUGACCUGGGCGAGUUACAGGGAGGCUCACUGUUGAAGGCAAGAAAGACCUCACUGCAAAGCUGCAACCCAUCGCAGCUCUGCACUGUCGGGUAGACAGAAACCUUCUGGCCAAAGCGCAGCUGAAGGUGUGGGCCAGCUGGAGAUCAUCUAAAAAGGGAAAAAUCAGACUACUUGCAGAUGUGAAAUUCAUAAUCGGGGAGCAGAGACUGAAUCGCAGAGAAGAGGAAAGUCUAGAGAAAAGCAAGGUCUGGUAGUCCUCAGGUUUGCAAAAAAAAGCUGCUGCAAAGAGUUGGAAUAAGUUUCCUCAUCCACUGAGAUAAAGUAGCUUUGAAAGUUGUGCCAUUUGUGCAAGUUUUAGAUGAUUUAAUUGUGAGCUUGAUUUUUUUCGAAAAUACUUGUCUUCUCUUUUAGUGUUUUCCUGGAAUCAUCUCUUUAAACUAAUGAGACAUUAAAGCCAGACAUUAGGAAGCAUUUUCUAACGAUGACGCUGCCUGCAUCCUGUCACACAUCGCUACAGAGGCUGGCGAGUCAGCAAACGUCUGCCGGGGCUGCUCUGGGUAUCGCUGACCCCGCCGUGGCGUGGGGAGACCUCGGCGAGCCCCAGCAGCUCCUUUCCCCAUCGCUCUGGCAAGUCCGAAGAUUUACUUCCAGCCUGAAGGUAAUCACUCAGUCGUGAUUCUGACCUACAGCUUAAUGUGCCCCCUCGCUAUAGUUACAGCCGUCCUCCUUCUGGUUAUGCUCCCUGCUGUGACUAAUGGGAUCUCUGCAGUUAAAGAGGUGAUUUUUAAAGAAAAAGAUCCAAGUUGCAGUGCUGCUACCAAGUUUACAGCUUUAGCAAAAGCAAUGGCACAGUACUAACGAUAGCAGUCCUGACUACGGCCUAUGAAUUUGACAUUUGUAGGUGUACAUUUAUACACCUCUCUCCAGACCUACAGACCCCUAAAUGCACAGGAAGCAAAUGAUCUUUUGUUACUGUUUAUGCCAUGGACGGUGAGUACCAGUUUAGGUAUUCGCUAUUCACAGUGAAAUGUGCUUAAAGUAGACAUACUCCAUUCUUGUAAAAUAUUCUUAAUCAGCCAAAGUUUUUUUUUCUUUUUUUUUUUUCUUUUUUUCUUUUUUUCUUUUCUUUUUUAAACUGAGUUGUUUUGCACAAAUGCACACAAAAAUGGAAAGCAGCUUGCAAAGAAUUGUAAAAUACCACAGGAGAGCCUGAGAUACAAAGCCAGCUUUACAAACAUGAUUCUUCCAGUGCAGUUUUCUCAAAGACGUUUAAGGGUGCUAUGAGGGACCAUUUGUUGAAGAUGAAACCAUGAGGAUUUUGAAGGCAUUUUGCAAAGUACAUCUUACCUCAACCAUUAAUAAAUAUUCCUUUUGAAAACAUGGUAAUGAUUGAAGAGUUUUCCAAACAGAAGAACAUUUCUUUGGAUUAAGUGACAAUGCCACUUUAAAUAAAUCCAACUGAUUUUCUGUGUGUGUGUGUGUAUGGAUGCUAUAGGAAAAUAAAAAUUUGGGAAAAUUCUACCUUUGUUU